Molecule: unclassified non-coding RNA, 240 nt
Filed under: soil metagenome
Description: partial contains 5.8S ribosomal RNA, internal transcribed spacer 2, and large subunit ribosomal RNA
Source: RNAcentral
AACCAUAGAAACCUGCGGAGUACCUGCGGAGGGAUCAUUAUUGAAUUUUCACAAGAAAAAUGUUGUGCUGCCCUUUCUCUUGAUAGAGGGGACAGUGCAAUGUUUUUCUCAAACAAACUAUCACAACUAACAAGAAAAUUGAUUUGGAUGGUUUGGAAACAAGUGUUUGCCUGAUAAUCAAGAUGAUUUGGAUUGGAAAAAGAAAUACAACUUUCAGCAAUGGAUCUCAGAUCGGAAGAG